UAGAACGACUAUUUGAGAUUAAAUUGUCCUUUAACACUCGGACGUUUUCUGCUCUAAUAAAAUUACGCUUUCGUCUUUUUUAUUAGCAUUUGCGAAAUUCUAAGAAGACUCGUGCAAAAUGGAGAGAAGAUACCGGAAAGACAAGGCGAGUUACUUCACGAAAUACGAGCCCACCUGUAAGAUAAGAAGUUCACUUCUACAAGCGAACACAAGAUUGACCAAUUACGUAACGGGACAUCAGGCCUUUCUUUAGGAAGAACGUAGCCACGGUCACGGGAUGAACGUUAUGUCUAACAGAAGAAGUACCGAUGUUGAGGGACACGCUGUAUUAACAAUCAAGCCCCAGCCAGGUGCAAUAUUGGCUUUACGCGGGACUGCCUAGUAACGGCGCUUGGAAUUUUGUUGAUAUUCCCCAUCAAUAUGUAAUUGACAAAUGUGACCGUAUCUGUCUUUUAUUUUUGCAAUCACCUUGGAGAGUUUACUGAUAUCGUCUAGGCAGUCAGUCUGGAAGUAACCCAGCGACUGAGCUGACGCGUCUGGGUGCUACAAAAUAUAUUCUAUUGUACAAAGAGUUUUCCCGUUGACCGUGGAUUCGUUAUUGAACCCAAGAACAUUGUCAAAAGCAUUCGUUAAAUUUAUUGUUCGUUAAACUAAUUAUUCGUUAAACUUUGUAAAGACAUAUUUAUACAUGUAAAUAUAAUCUUUAUUGUGCAUCACGAUGGCUAAUUCUAAUGAAAAAUUAUCACACGCCCGAAAUCCUAA
RNAcentral lists this unclassified non-coding RNA (762 nucleotides) under Bombus terrestris (buff-tailed bumblebee). RNAcentral describes it as "misc RNA ENSBTSG00005033208.1". The record is from RNAcentral. Lineage: Eukaryota; Metazoa; Arthropoda; Insecta; Hymenoptera; Apidae.